Non-coding RNA from Macaca mulatta (Rhesus monkey), 1805 nucleotides. The record is from RefSeq and is a predicted model, not a curated record. NCBI's taxonomy places the organism in Eukaryota, Metazoa, Chordata, Mammalia, Primates, Cercopithecidae.
CCCCGAAGGCGGUGUAUGGAUUGGGGAGUCCCAGCGUUGGGGAUUCCCCAUCUCCGCAGUUUCUCUUCUUCUCACAACCUGCGUCGAGUCCUUCUUCCUGGAUACUCACGACGCGGACCCCGUUCUCACUCCCAUUGGGUGUCGGUUUCUAGAGACGCCAAUCAGCGUCGCCGCGGUCCCGGUUCCAAAGUCCCCACUAACCCACCAGGACUCAGAGUCUCCGCAGACGCCAAGAAUGGCGGUCAUGGCGCCCCGAACCCUCCUCCUGGUGCUCUCAGGGGCCCUGACCCAGACCUGGGCCGGCUCUCACUCCAUGAGGUAUUUCUACACCUCCAUGUCCCGGCCCGGCCGCGGGGAGCCCCGCUUCAUCGCCGUGGGCUACGUGGACGACACGCAGUUCGUGCAGUUCGACAGCGACGCCGCGAGCCAGAGGAUGGAGCCGCGGGCGCCGUGGGUGGAGCAGGAGGGGCCGGAGUAUUGGGACCGGGAGACACGGAACAUGAAGACCGCGACACAGAAUGCCCCAGUGGCCCUGCGGAACCUGCUCCGCUACUACAACCAGAGCGAGGCCGGGAUUACAUCGCCCUGAACGAGGACCUGCGCUCCUGGUUCGCGGCGGAUGUGGCGGCUCAGAACACCCAGCGGAAGUGGGAGGCGGCGGGUGUGGCGGAGCAGGACAGAGUCUACCUGGAGGGCCGGUGCGUGGAGUGGCUCCGCAGAUACCUGGAGAACGGGAAGGAGACGCUGCAGCGCGCGGACCCCCCCAAGACACAUGUGACCCACCACCCCGUCUCUGACCAUGAGGCCACCCUGAGGUGCUGGGCCCUGGGCUUCUACCCUGCGGAGAUCACACUGACCUGGCAGCGGGAUGGGGAGGACCAAACUCAGGACACGGAGCUCGUGGAGACCAGGCCUGCAGGAGAUGGAACCUUCCAGAAGUGGGCGGCUGUGGUGGUGCCUUCUGGAAAGGAGCAGAGAUACACCUGUCAUGUGCAGCAUGAGGGUCUGCCCAAGCCCCUCACCCUGAGAUGGGAGCCGUCUUCCCAGUCCACCAUCCCCAUCAUGGGCAUCAUUGCUGGCCUGGUUCUCCUUGGAGCUGUGGUCACUGGAGCUGUGGUCGCUGCUGCGAUGUGGAGGAGGAAGAGCUCAGAUAGAAAAGGAGGGAGCUACUCUCAGGCUGCAAGUAAGUAUGAAGGAGGCUGAUCCCUGAGAUCCUUGGAAUGUUGUGGUUGGGGGCCCAUGGGGGAGCUCACCCAGCCCACAGUUCCUCCUCUAGCCACAUCUCCAGAGGGAUCUGACCAGGUCCUGUUUUUGUUCUACUCCAGGCAGUGACAGUGCCCAGGGCUCUGAUGUGUCUCUCACGGCUUGUAAAGUGUGGGACAGCUAACUUGUGUGGGACUGCGAGGCAAGGUUUGUUCACGCCUUCUCUUCGUGACUUGAAGAACCCUGACGUUCUUUCUGCAAAGGCACCUGAAUGUGUGUUCCUGUAGGCAUAAUGUGAGGAGGUGGGGAGAACACCCCAUCCCCGUGUCCACCAUGACCCUCUUCCCCACGCUGACCUGUGUUCCCUCCUCAUUUAUCUUUCCUGUUCCAGGGAGGUUGGGCUGGGAUGUCUCUAUCUCUGUCUCAACUUCAUUUUGCUCCCAUUUUGCACGGAGCUGUAACUUCUUCCUUCCCUAUUACAAUUAGAACCUGAGUAUAAAUUUACUUUUUCAAAUUAUUAUCAUGAGAGGUUCAUGAGUUAAUUAAAGUAGAAUAUUCCUAAAAUUUGAGAGACGAAAUAAAUAGAAGACAUGAGAACCUUC